RNAcentral lists this ribosomal RNA (428 nucleotides) under uncultured prokaryote. RNAcentral's name for it is "bacterial SSU rRNA". It matches the Rfam family "Bacterial small subunit ribosomal RNA", at positions 355 to 774 of the family's 1533-position model. The record is from RNAcentral.
UCGAGAAUCUUUCGCAAUGGGGGAAACCCUGACGACGCGACGCCGCGUGGAGGAUGAAGGCCUUCGGGUUGUAAACUCCUGUCAGCAGGGGAGAACAAGUGGUCGGUGAAUAAUCGAUUGCCUUGACAGUACAUGCAGAGGAAGCCACGGCUAACUCUGUGCCAGCAGCCGCGGUAAGACAGAGGUGGCAAGCGUUGUUCGGAUUUAUUGGGCGUAAAGGGUCCGUAGGCGGCCUGAAAAGUUGGAUGUGAAAUCCCACAGCUUAACUGUGGAACUGCAUUCAAAACUUUCAGGCUCGAGUGUGAUAGGGGUAAAGGGAAUUCCCGGUGUAAGGGUGAAAUCUGCAGAGAUCGGGAGGAACACCAGUCGCGAAGGCGCUUUACUGGAUCACUACUGACGCUGAGGGACGAAAGCCAGGGGAGCAAACG